This 786-nucleotide long non-coding RNA is filed under the name Capsicum annuum. Its description in RNAcentral is "long non-coding RNA (CANN_LNC012145)". Lineage: Eukaryota; Viridiplantae; Streptophyta; Magnoliopsida; Solanales; Solanaceae. The record is from RNAcentral.
GGAUGGACCUUAAUACCGCUUUUGAUGAAUAUUAUUUGACAAAAUAAAGAGAAUCCGCCUUCGAUAACUUCGACUUAAGCCUCAGCGACGAAUCUAUCCAGUUCGGUAUUGAGAAAUUGAAACCCAAAACUAAACCCACAACCAGUAACGAAUACCAAAGAACUUGAGAUGAAAAUCGCAACAGCACAAACCAAUCCCAUUCACGAACUAAUCUUGAAAUCAAAGGAGAUGAUGAGAUGGGGAGAUUUAAGACGGAAUUGAUCGAACGAUGAACUGAAAACCAAUCAAAACUGAGCUCCAGUGAGUUGCGAAGGGCAAAACUAGCGAAACCAGUCGAAAUCUGGCGACUAUGGCGCCGAAACAGUAGCCCGAAACCCGAUUUUGUUUUCUCCCUAUUCUCUCUCGCGCAUCACUCUCUUCUCUCUCAUUUUUAUCCCUCUCCUUGUGCUAUUACUGUGUGCGUGCCUCUCGUGAGCGGAAAUUUGUAUUGUUGUUGUUAUCUCCGGUGAGUGUAGAUAGGGGUCUAGGAUUUUUGCAUGAAAAUUAGCUGGGUGUCUUCCCCUAUCCGUGAAUAUGUGUGUACAAGUGUCAAUGGUGGGUGUUCGUUUUUCAGUAAAAAAAAUGAAAUUCCUGAAGAUGAGUGCUCUGUGAGGAUUAAUGGUGUUUUUUGUGAGGGUCAGUAAUGGAUGAGAGGCGUGAGGAUGAGUGGAAAGCAUUGUGAAUAAUUAUGUGAAAAAAUGGAAUUUUUGGAAAUUUUUUGUGUUCUCUAAUGGAAUAUGUGGUGCA